Molecule: long non-coding RNA, 397 nt
Filed under: Coffea arabica (coffee)
Lineage: Eukaryota; Viridiplantae; Streptophyta; Magnoliopsida; Gentianales; Rubiaceae
Description: long non-coding RNA (CARA_LNC006523)
Source: RNAcentral
GGGGUGGUGGUUUUCCGUUACUUUUUUGGUAUUUUUGAUCAAGUAUAUUUGACAUAUUUUCAUAUAUUAUUGACACGUCUUAUUAUAGACUUGCAUUUGAAAAACUAAUUUUUCCAAGUACAAGCAAUCCGCACAUAGCCUUGAAAACACUAUGCCACGUUGCUUCCAUAUUCUUUUCUGAACGCAGACAUACUUGUUUAUGAAUGCACAACCUACCCAAUUUCCGAUGAAAUUUUCUGCUUACAAGCAGUGGAUAGACCAUCGACUUUUUAAACAUAAUGGUACAGACAAUGAUUUAAUCAGAAUUAACAGAAAUUACAACUUUUUUCACUUACUAGAAACUCUAAUACUCCAUCUUUUGGCCUUGUUGUUGGCUGUUUUAGAUUUUACAAAUUUU